This 229-nucleotide ribosomal RNA is filed under the name uncultured bacterium. RNAcentral describes it as "partial 16S ribosomal RNA". It matches the Rfam family "Bacterial small subunit ribosomal RNA", at positions 524 to 751 of the family's 1533-position model. The record is from RNAcentral.
UACGGAGGGUGCAAACGUUGCUCGGAAUCAUUGGGCGUAAAGCGCACGUAGGCGGCGCGUUAAGUCGGAUGUGAAAGCCCCGGGCUCAACCCGGGAAGUGCAUACGAAACUGGCGCGCUUGAAUAUGGAAGAGGGUCGCGGAAUUCCCCGGUGUAGAGGUGAAAUUCGUAGAUAUCGGGAGGAACACCAGUGGCGAAGGCGGCGACCUGGGCCAAUAUUGACGCUGAGG